Long non-coding RNA from Diospyros lotus (date-plum), 2252 nucleotides. RefSeq lists it as uncharacterized. The record is from RefSeq and is a predicted model, not a curated record. The transcript has 3 exons. NCBI's taxonomy places the organism in Eukaryota, Viridiplantae, Streptophyta, Magnoliopsida, Ericales, Ebenaceae.
AUUUUGCUUUUGAAUAACCAAUAUUUAUGCCAAUUUCUUUCUAGUAGUCGUAGUGUUUGGGAACAACCUUCAGGCCACUAGCUGUCCCAAUUGGGAAUGGUUGUGUCCUCACAUUGCAUGAUGAACAUACCAGUAUUGAUAUCCAUGAUUCCAUCUCCUUAGCCAUUACUGUGAUAGAAUCUGGGAAGAAGCUGGUGAGUGGGAGCGUCUAGUUGAGAAGCAUCAGCAGAAAUUGCCAUACACAAUUGAAAUAUUGAGCAGAAAGCAUUGUCAAGAGCUGGAUGUUGCUGAAGGGGCAUUACCCAACAAUUCUACAGUAUGUUCCUCCCAAGGAAAUUGUUGCAGUUGUUCAUUCUGCCUCCUCUAGUUCUGCUAGUGCUUCUAAGAAUUUAAACCAGAAGUGCAUUGUGAAAGAAAACUUGGAGAUGGGGAUGCAAAUUAAAUUCCGGGAUAUUUGCAAGAGUGACCAAGAUAUUAUUGAUCUAUAUUCUAUAAACUUAUCACCUUCAUCCCAUAAAGGGUUACGUGGUUUAUAUAUAUUUUCUGUGGGAUGCAAGUUUGCACACAUGUUUCAGAAAGCUGGUGUUUAUAUAUUUUCAUUUUUUUCUUGCAAGUCAUUUGCUAAAAUUCUUCGCAAACUUUAAGUUUUAGAAUUUAUCAUGACAAACUCGUGUUUGUAGCCAGAUAAUUGAAUACUUAGGUUUCUGUGAUGGAAUUUUACUAUUUUAGAGGGGUGAAUUCUAUGACUUGUGAAAGAAGUGUAGACACUAGGGCAUCAUCUGAGGUUGGCAGAUGGGGGCAAAUAAAUGAUGGAGAGAGUCUACCCUACAAUAUUACCUGGUAAGGCACCUCAUACUUUCUAGGCUUCUUGUAUAUAGAACUCUUUUAUGUACAUUUGUCAAAGUGUGAUCUGCUCACCUAUUGGGAUUGAGGCUUGAUAUUUGUUGUUGUGUCAAAAUGUGCUAUGUCUCACCUAGGUCUGAUAUCUUACUGAUGAAAUUACUUUCCCUUUGUUAUUUGUUUUGAUCCUACAUAGAUGAAAGAACAUGAUCCUACAAGUUGGUGAAUUCAUACGACUGUUAAUAGUUAGUUAUCAUCUCCUGAAGUUGCACACAAGCAUGAUUAUUUCAUAAUAUGACCAAAAUUGAGAACCUUUUGUGUUUAAGGAUGAUAAUUUGCCUUCUAUGGAAUGCAAGGAAGGGAAAUUUACACUUGUAAAUUGUGUUUUCUUGCUGAUACUUAAUAUUUAAAUUGUUGUCUUUUUCCUUGGAAGUUAUUUUUCUACUUCUGUUUUUGCAUUCUAUUUAUUGUUGUUAUAAUUCUUAUUUACCAUGUUUUAAAUGCUACUAGAUAUAUGAAAUUUGCUGUUUAAGAUACUCAGUAUCUGGCUACUACAGGUAAUGUUGCUUUACCUAAAUGAAAUGAAAUAGUUUUUAUUGAAUUGUUAAUUACCAUCUUAUCUAAAAGCUUAACCUGUUAGUUUCUCUUCUAUUCUCAUUCUUAAAGUAAUAAAAAUGGAGCUCUGUUUCGGCCAGAGACAGUUAUAUAUACCUAUAAUAAGGCUCUAUUUCUAAUUUUGCUUUUGGACUUAAGUUUACAACUUGGGAUAACACAAUAGUUUCAAGCUUUACAAUUGUGCCUUGAUUCUUUCAGAGUCAUCUUUGAUUUUUAUUUUCUCUUAAUUUUUCUCCCUGACAAUUAUCAUCUCAGUUAGUCUUGGGAAAUAUUAUUCAUCAAGUGUUCCCAUGAUGAGUGACGAGGAUCAUGCCCGCGAGGAAAGUGAGGAGGAAACAGUACAAAAUAUAUUAAAGCACGAAAAAUCCGCAGCUGACAUUUUGUGCUUGCUGAAAGCUCGUCAUGGCAGUCAGGCAUCUCAUCUUCUGUUGACCAAGGAUGUGCUGGGCAUUGUUGCUACCCUUGGACAAGUGGAAGAUGACAAUCUCAGCAGGUUUGUUAAGGAUUUUGCAGUUGAUCAUGUUUUUUAUUGUUUACUCUGGAAUAUGUAAACUGUUCAUUGCUUCUAAGUUCUUAGUUACGAUUGAUAAUUUCAGAUCUGUUUGCAUGGCUAUUAUAAAGAACUAAUUUUUCAACACCAGUUGUAUAUAGGGUUUACGUUUAUUUCAAGUGUGCUUGGCUGUAAUCAUUGUAGUUGUUACUUAGAUGUAUUGUUAGUUCUCAUGUUAAGGUGGCUCUCUAUGUCUCUGGCUGUAACAUUUCAUGUACUGUGUCAAUUUGUAUGCUGAUUAACUGGU